Molecule: ribosomal RNA, 484 nt
Filed under: uncultured bacterium
Lineage: Bacteria
Description: partial 16S ribosomal RNA
Rfam family: Bacterial small subunit ribosomal RNA
Source: RNAcentral
AGUGAACGCUGGCGGCGUGCUUAACACAUGCAAGUCGAACGAGAACGGAUUAUAGCUUGCUAUAAUUGUCAGCUAAGUGGCGCACGGGUGAGUAAUGUAUAGGUAAUAUGCCUCUUACUAAGGGAUAACAAAUGGAAACGUUUGCUAAUACCUUAUACUCCUUAUUAACAGAAGUUAAUAAGGGAAAGAUUUAUUGGUAAGAGAUUAGCCUGUAUUGUAUCAGUUAGUUGGUGGGGUAAUGGCUUACCAAGACUAUGACACAUAACUGGUUUGAGAGGAUGAUCAGUCACACUGGAACUGAGACACGGUCCAUAAUCCUACGGGAGGCAGCAGUGGGGAAUAUUGCACAAUGGACGUAAGUCUGAUGCAGCAACGCCGCGUGGAGGAUGACACAUUUCGGUGCGUAAACUCCUUUUAUAUGAGAAGAUAAUGACGGUAUUAUAUGAAUAAGCACCGGCUAACUCCGUGCCAGCCGCCGCGGUAA